CAGGGAAAGAAGACCCUCUUGAGCUAGUCUGUCAUGGUAGCAUGGUGAAGAGACAUGAGAGGUGUAGAAUAUGUGGGUGGCCCCCGCUGUCCCCCGUCCAGGCAAGGGCUGCUGAUGAAAUACCACCACUCUUACCAUUUGUCACUGACCCAGUGAGGGCAGGUGGGGGCAGUGAUAACCCCGAGGGGCUCUCGCUUCUGGUGCCAAGUGCCUAACCGGGCAUGACCUGCUCCAAGGACAGUGCCAGGUGGGAAGUUUGACUGGGGGGAGGUACACCUGUCAAAUAAGGUGAGCUCAGCAGGGGGACAGACACUUCCUACGGAGCAGAAGGGCAAAAGCUCGCUUGAUCUUGAUUUUCAGUAGAAUACAGACUGUGAAAGCAGGGCCUACAGGAUCCUUCUGAUUUUCUGGGUUUUAAGCAAGAGGUGUCAGAAAAGUUACCACAAGUAUAACUGGCUUGUGAUGGCUAAGCGUUCAUAGUGACGUUGCUUUCUGAUCCUUCCGUGUCAGCUCUUCCUGUCAUUGUGAAGUAGAAUUCACCAAGCGUUACAUUGUUCACCUACUAAUGGGGAAUGCGAGCUGGGAUUCGAACGUUGUGAGAUAGGUUAGCUUUAGUUUA
This 619-nucleotide non-coding RNA is filed under the name Loxodonta africana (African savanna elephant). Its description in RNAcentral is "Eukaryotic large subunit ribosomal RNA". It matches the Rfam family "Eukaryotic large subunit ribosomal RNA", at positions 2398 to 2996 of the family's 3401-position model. Lineage: Eukaryota; Metazoa; Chordata; Mammalia; Proboscidea; Elephantidae. The record is from Rfam by way of RNAcentral.